Molecule: unclassified non-coding RNA, 104 nt
Filed under: Oryza sativa (Asian cultivated rice)
Lineage: Eukaryota; Viridiplantae; Streptophyta; Magnoliopsida; Poales; Poaceae
Description: partial microRNA MIR450b precursor
Source: RNAcentral
CUGAAAAGUUGUGUGUGUAUAACAGGUUGAUGUGAUGGAAAAAGUUAGAAGUUUGGAUCCAAAGUUCGGAUCUAAACACAGCCUAUAUAUACCACGAAUAUACG